GGAAUAUUGCGCAAUGGGCGAAAGCCUGACGCAGCAACGCCGCGUGAGGGAUGAAGGCCUUCGGGUUGUAAACCUCUUUUAGCAGGGAAGAAGCGAAAGUGACGGUACCUGCAGAAAAAGCACCGGCUAACUACGUGCCAGCAGCCGCGGUAAUACGUAGGGUGCAAGCGUUAUCCGGAAUUAUUGGGCGUAAAGAGCUCGUAGGCGGUUUGUCGCGUCUGCUGUGAAAAUCUGAGGCUCAACCUCGGACUUGCAGUGGGUACGGGCAGACUAGAGUGCAGUAGGGGAGAAGGGAAUUCCUGGUGUAGCGGUGGAAUGCGCAGAUAUCAGGAGGAACACCAAUGGCGAAGGCACUUCUCUGGGCUGUAACUGACGCUGAGGAGCGAAAGCGUGGGGAGCGAACAGGAUUAGAUACCCUGGUAGUCCACGCCGUAAACGUUGGGCGCUAGAUGUGGGUCACAUUCCACGUGAUCCGUGUCGCAGCUAACGCAUUAAGCGCCCCGCCUGGGGAGUACGGCCGCAAGGCUAAAACUCAAAGGAAUUGACGGA
RNAcentral lists this ribosomal RNA (549 nucleotides) under uncultured bacterium. RNAcentral describes it as "bacterial SSU rRNA". It matches the Rfam family "Bacterial small subunit ribosomal RNA", at positions 358 to 917 of the family's 1533-position model. The record is from RNAcentral.